AAAGUCCCGCAAGGGAUGAGUAGAGUGGCAAACGGGUGAGUAACACGUGGGUGACCUGCCUUCGAGUGGGGGAUAACGUCCCGAAAGGGACGCUAAUACCGCAUGACAUCCUGCCUUUGAAGAGGUGGAGAUCAAAGCUGGGGAUCGCAAGACCUAGCGCUCAAAGAGGGGCCCGCGCCUGAUUAGCUAGUUGGCGAGGUAACGGCUCACCAAGGCAACGAUCAGUAUCCGGCCUGAGAGGGCGGACGGACACACUGGGACUGAGACACGGCCCAGACUCCUACGGGAGGCAGCAGUGGGGAAUUGUUCGCAAUGGGCGCAAGCCUGACGACGCAACGCCGCGUGGAGGAUGAAGACCUUCGGGUCGUAAACUCCUUUCGAUCGAGACGAACGGCCUCCGGGUGAACAAUCCGGAGGAGUGACGGUACCGAGAGAAGAAGCCCCGGCUAACUCCGUGCCAGCAGCCGCGGUAAUACGGGGGGGGCAAGCGUUGUUCGGAAUUACUGGGCGUAAAGGGCUCGUAGGCGGCCAACUAAGUCAGACGUGAAAUCCCUCGGCUUAACCGGGGAACUGCAUCUGAUACUGGAUGGCUUGAGUUCGGGAGAGGGAUGUGGAAUUCCAGGUGUAGCGGUGAAAUGCGUAGAUAUCUGGAGGAACACCGGUGGCGAAGGCGGCAUCCUGGACCGACACUGACGCUGAGGAGCGAAAGCCAGGGGAGCAAACGGGAUUAGAUACCCCGGUAGUCCUGGCCCUAAACGAUGAAUGCUUGGUGUGGCGGGUAUCGAUCCCUGCCGUGCCGAAGCUAACGCAUUAAGCAUUCCGCCUGGGGAGUACGGUCGCAAGGCUGAAACUC
Molecule: ribosomal RNA, 853 nt
Filed under: uncultured Acidobacteriota bacterium
Lineage: Bacteria; Pseudomonadati; Acidobacteriota
Description: bacterial SSU rRNA
Rfam family: Bacterial small subunit ribosomal RNA
Source: RNAcentral